CCUUUGCAUGGAGCCUUGUUCUGAGAGUAACUGAAUGAGAACGAGGCGCUGCGCAAAGGA
Monodelphis domestica (gray short-tailed opossum) is the source of this 60-nucleotide microRNA precursor. The record is from Ensembl. NCBI's taxonomy places the organism in Eukaryota, Metazoa, Chordata, Mammalia, Didelphimorphia, Didelphidae.